UGCGCAGGCGGCUUGGCAAGAAAGAUGUGAAAUCCCUGAGCUUAACUUAGGAAUUGCAUUCGAUACUGGAAAGCUAGAGUAUGGGAGAGGAUGGUAGAAUUCCAGGUGUAGCGGUGAAAUGCGUAGAGAUCUGGAGGAAUACCGAUGGCGAAGGCAGCCAUCUGGCCUAAUACUGACGCUGAGGUACGAAAGCAUGGGGAGCAAACAGGAUUAGAUACCCCCGUA
RNAcentral lists this ribosomal RNA (225 nucleotides) under uncultured Acinetobacter sp. RNAcentral describes it as "partial 16S ribosomal RNA". It matches the Rfam family "Bacterial small subunit ribosomal RNA", at positions 568 to 792 of the family's 1533-position model. Lineage: Bacteria; Pseudomonadati; Pseudomonadota; Gammaproteobacteria; Moraxellales; Moraxellaceae. The record is from RNAcentral.